This 230-nucleotide ribosomal RNA is filed under the name uncultured bacterium. Its description in RNAcentral is "partial 16S ribosomal RNA". It matches the Rfam family "Bacterial small subunit ribosomal RNA", at positions 89 to 334 of the family's 1533-position model. The record is from RNAcentral.
CGGCGAGCGGCGGACGGCUGAGUAACGCGUGGGAAUUUGCCCCAAAGUGAGGAAUAACUGCCCGAAAGGGUGGCUAAUGCCGCAUAUGAUCUUCGGAUUAAAGGAUUUAUCCGCUUUGGGAGAAGCCCGCGUCGGAUUAGGUAGUUGGUGAGGUAAUGGCUCACCAAGCCGACGAUCCGUAGCUGGUCUGAGAGGAUGACCAGCCAGACUGGAACUGAGACACGGUCCAG